This 82-nucleotide transfer RNA is filed under the name Nematostella vectensis (starlet sea anemone). It matches the Rfam family "tRNA". Rfam says of the family: Transfer RNA (tRNA) molecules are approximately 80 nucleotides in length. The record is from Rfam by way of RNAcentral. Lineage: Eukaryota; Metazoa; Cnidaria; Anthozoa; Actiniaria; Edwardsiidae.
GACUAGGUUGCCGAGUGGUUAAGGCGUUGGACUGCUAAUCAAAUGUGCGCUGCACGCGUGGGUUCGGAUCCCAUUAUCGUCG